This 211-nucleotide unclassified non-coding RNA is filed under the name fungal sp. RNAcentral describes it as "partial internal transcribed spacer region". The stretch from base 1 to 46 matches the Rfam family "Eukaryotic small subunit ribosomal RNA", at positions 1786 to 1831 of the family's 1831-position model. The record is from RNAcentral. Lineage: Eukaryota; Fungi.
AAGUCGUAACAAGGUUUCCGUAGGUGAACCUGCGGAAGGAUCAUUAGAGAUGCCGCGAGGCUUGAUCAUACACACAUGCGUGAACCGGGGCGGAUGGUUGCCGUGGCUGACAUGUCAGCGACGGAGGACGGCCGCCCAGUUUUUACACCUUUUGUCUGGAAUGUAUACACAGUAACCGAAAAAACUUUCAACAACGGAUCUCUUGGCUCUC